This 284-nucleotide long non-coding RNA is filed under the name Bos taurus (domestic cattle). RNAcentral's name for it is "long non-coding RNA NONBTAT004930". The record is from RNAcentral. Lineage: Eukaryota; Metazoa; Chordata; Mammalia; Artiodactyla; Bovidae.
GGAUUUUUUGAAGUUCUGAACAGGGCCCCAUUUCACAUAUUUUUAGUGAGUUGUAACCUUUAAAUGCUGAUUACCAGAUUGGUCUCAUUUGAAUCUUAUUUUUACAUCUAGAAUGAGUUUUAUGUUUCAGUGCAGCUAAACCUGCUGGUAUCAUUUUAGUCUAAUUAACAGUAUUUUGUGAUCUGGGGCUCCUAUCAAAGUUCAUCAUAAGAGCUAGAAAACCCUGGGAGGUAAAAUGAACACAUGACCUCAUCUCCUGUUUUGCACUAGACUCUAACUUGCAU